AAGGAUUUAAGUUAAUUAAACUUUUAACCUUCAAAGUUAAUAAUAGAUUUUAUCUAAGCCUUA
Molecule: transfer RNA, 63 nt
Filed under: Longitarsus parvulus
Lineage: Eukaryota; Metazoa; Arthropoda; Insecta; Coleoptera; Chrysomelidae
Description: tRNA-Trp
Source: RNAcentral